GGAUGAGAACUCUCGAAAUCAGUAAACUCUCUUAAUGAUCGACAUAGCUUAUUGCCGCAUUGAUGUCCAAAACCCUCUUGAGAGAGAAACAGAGAGAGAAAGGUCAUCUUGAGGUGUGAGCGACUUGUGGGUCUUUCUCUCGAAUGGAUCGGUUCGUCAGUGCCCAGGCUCCUUGUCUCUCGGUAGGAGGGCCUCCCUCUCAAGUGGGCUUCUAGUUUCCGGCAAACUAAUUGCUCAGAAGGCGGUGGUAAGUUUUUGAAGCUAGCGGGAGUGACUGGAAGUGCUACUGCUCUUAGCAAAGUCUUGGAAUCAAUGGACCAAUCCACAUAGCAAUGGUAUCGGCCUUAAGAUACCUUUGAGCCUUGGCAUUCUCAUGUACACAUUAGCGGCUUUUCUUAUUGAUGCAAUCACAACAGGAUUGUUAUUGAAAACAAGCAGUGGAUUGAUCACGAGAAGCAUGGCUAUACUUCAGCUGAGAAUCAUGGCGCCUUGUGUAACACUGGCGUGCUUGAUGGGAAUCGGCUGUGGAAGUUUUGACCGAGCUUUCACGUCCAGUUUGUAGCCAAACUUUGGAAUGGGUUUCGUGUGCAGUGUCUCGGGAAGAUACGGGAUUGCAUCCUUGAGUCCUGCUCUAUCAAGCAUAUCGAUCAUUCUCGCUGCUGCAAUUCAUUGCAAGCUUUGCAAUCCUCAUUGCCUUGAGCUUUAAAGUCGAUUCAUACAAAGUGGUGCUUGACAGGAGGUGUUUUGCUCGUUUUGGCCUCGACAGUGGGAGCUUUGGCUCAAUGGCUUUUGCAGAUCUUUGCUCAAGAUGAUCGAGGCAUCAAGCUUUGCAUGCUUUUAAUGACCGGUCUCGCGAUCCCUCUCGCUAAGCCGAUCGUCCGAGCUCUCGUCCAGUGCUACACAUUUGGCGACUCCGCCGCUCAAGCCGUAUCAUUGCUCGUCAAGCACUAUGCGAUGGCCUCUACUUGCGACCUCCUUGAACGUAUUUUCUACGCUCUUGGCGAUCUCGAUUUUACGUGAGCUUGGCUGCCAUCUAACGCUCUCUUGGACUGGCUGCUCGUUGGAAAACUUUGUGGAAACUCUCUCUCUCUCUCUCUCUCUCUCUCUCUCUCGUGCUCCAGGUAAUGGCCACUUCAAUGGCACCGCUACGUAGAUGGGCCUGACAACCAAAGCUUUUGGAGAAGCUCACAACACCGGCUCGCUCUCUCUCUCUCUCUCUCUCUCUCUCUCUCUCUCUCUCUCGUGCUCCAGGUAAUGGCCACUUCAAUGGCACCGCUACGUAAAAUUCUAGAUGGGCCUGACAACCAAAGCUUUUGGAGAAGCUCACAACACCGGCUCCUCAGAUGAUCAAACUUCCGGUUGCUUCCUUUUGUUGCAGCUUUUAGACGACGGUGCAACCUUCUCAGGCAUCCCAAAAUUUAGCGCAUGACUGUUGCGGAGUUUUUGAAACGGAGUGGAGGCUCCACGCUUGUUGAUGUAAGCUGGUGCCCCAGAAGGAGGCUUUCUUCAAGACUGUCGGAAAUAUGUAUCAACACAGCUGUCCGAGGAACUUAGCUGGAUCAAGGUUGAAAAGGAGUUGCUUCAUCUGCGAGAGAUCCAAGCAGGAGGUAAAUCGAAGCUGGUUAAGGCAGACUUUCCUUUUGUGAUUCAGUUUAAAACACUUGACUUGAGAGCAGGACUGACUUGAAAGAUGGCUUACCAGCCGGGACCUGCAAAUACAUGCUGCGCAGGUGCAAACUUUGUCAUCGAGCAGGCAAUGAAAUGACAAGCUUCACAAGCAUGACGGUGGUCUCCUCAUUUCGUGAGUGCAAAUGCUUUUCUUUUUGUUGUUCUCCCCACACAAGGCCCGAUUUCAAGCUAAAAUCCCAAUUGCGAGCAAGCAAUUCUAAUCUUAGCCUUGAUCGUGUCA
This is an RNA transcript of Selaginella moellendorffii, 1909 nucleotides long. It is a transcript of the gene named probable lipid II flippase MurJ, with no coding region annotated. NCBI's taxonomy places the organism in Eukaryota, Viridiplantae, Streptophyta, Lycopodiopsida, Selaginellales, Selaginellaceae. The record is from RefSeq and is a predicted model, not a curated record. The transcript is spliced from 11 exons.